This 253-nucleotide ribosomal RNA is filed under the name uncultured bacterium. Its description in RNAcentral is "partial 16S ribosomal RNA". It matches the Rfam family "Bacterial small subunit ribosomal RNA", at positions 524 to 776 of the family's 1533-position model. The record is from RNAcentral.
UACGAAGGGAGCUAGCGUUGUUCGGAAUUACUGGGCGUAAAGCGCACGUAGGCGGAUCUUUAAGUCAGGGGUGAAAUCCUGGAGCUCAACUCCAGAACUGCCUUUGAUACUGAGGACCUUGAGUUCGGGAGAGGUGAGUGGAACUGCGAGUGUAGAGGUGAAAUUCGUAGAUAUUCGCAAGAACACCAGUGGCGAAGGCGGCUCACUGGCCCGAUACUGACGCCGAGGUGCGAAAGCGUGGGGAGCAAACAGG